Long non-coding RNA from Phalaenopsis equestris, 1137 nucleotides. RefSeq lists it as uncharacterized. The transcript is spliced from 3 exons. The record is from RefSeq and is a predicted model, not a curated record. Lineage: Eukaryota; Viridiplantae; Streptophyta; Magnoliopsida; Asparagales; Orchidaceae.
UCUGCUGGCAAGCUCUCCAACAACUAGCCACCCAUUCAGUCGGCUACUUCUCCACCGACCGUCCACCCAGAUACGCCGGCAACGCACCACCAAUCGACCACCCACUCGGUUGGCUACUUCGCCACAGAUCGGCCACCCACUCGGCCGACUACCUCUCUAGGAACUGGCCUCCUAUGCAGGGAAAAUCCAACCGGCCACCUCACCGCAUGUCCGAGUUUCCAGAUCUGGAUUCUUGGACAGUGAAGGAAAUUCUACAGGGUGAUUGGGAACCAUGGGCUCUCCCUCGUGCAUCCCCUCUUGGUUAUCCUCUGUUCUCUACAGCUCGUCUUGGUAAUAUGUGCAACUUAUGCUCUCGUCAAUGACCGGAUUUACAUCGUCUGAGGAAUUCAAAACUGGACUUGUCGAGACUCGGGGAGCUAGAGGAGUUCAAACAUUUUGGCAACCUGGGAACUUAGAUUUGGAGUGGAAAGACAACGAUGCCAAGAAAUUUUGAUCGCUUAAAACAUAAAAACGACGGACAUCGGUAUAGGGCAUUUGAUCAGCAUUAAAAUAAAAAUCGACUCUCAAUACCAAGUAUAAAAAAACUUGUGUUUUUAAACUAGACACAAUUAAAGUUCUGGAGGUAGUUCCCUGCCCAGAAAUGACAGUUUUAUGAAGAGUACGGACAAACAAUUUCAUUAGUAAGUUUCGAUGGUUACCCCCAUGUCGACAGUGACAAGAUCCGCUUAAGACCUGACUAAAGUUGUUGCCUGACCGAGGCAAUAAUCCAACCGCGCAAACAAGAUUUUAUUGUUUCCAUAUUGAACUUCAUCAUUUUGUGCAGCCAGUUAGGAAUCCCUAGUCAACGAAGCUCUUCUUAUAUAUGUUAUCAUUCUGGGUGGUCCGAAAGGUUAUGUUCAGUUGCCUCUCUUGGAAUGUUUCAAUUGCUAUGGCUGGAAAACAAGUGGCCCUCUCGCCAAGUCGAAGAAAAAGGUACCGGAUCGGGUAUUGGUGGAAGCAGGUGUCAAAGGGCAACAACUUCGAUCCCUCAAUAUCUUAAUUUGGUAAUUGUUGGUUGGGUGCUACGAUUGGAAGCAUUUGAGUAAAUGACGAAGGUAUAUUAGGUGGACUCUGAUGAGGCUAAGAGAGAGGGAGCGG